ACCUUUGUUUGCCAUAUUCAAACAACGUGGUUCUUAGGUUAAAGCAUGUUUAGAAGAAAUGGCACCUACGGUUUCGGCGGGGUGGAAAGAAGAUAUUGAUAUUGAAUACAUUAAAUCGUGUGUUUCUGAUAAAUUUUCUUGUAUUAAGCACGUUAGAAAAUCAAUUCACAUCCCACUUUCUCCUGUUUAUAUAGGAGAUGAAGUUAAAGGAGUUCUUCACCUACUAAGUUGUUGGAAACGACAGUAUGUCAAGAGGAUUUACCACUAUUUAGUUGGGAAAAUUUCCUCAAUUGGACCAUACUAACACAGAAAAGGAACUUCAGCACAGAAAAGUACCAAAAGCUGCAGUAAUGGAUAAUCAGAUGCUGGACCAGUGAUGUUUAAAGCCCAAAUUUUCCAAAGUGGCACCUGUUUCGGGUGCAAGGGGGUUGCCAUGAAACCUUGUAAGUGUCGUGAAUGUUGAGAUAACCUAGCCUAUAGCCAAGUGCAUGAAAUUUACUAUGAAAGUAAAAAUAUCGAUCCAAUUUUAAACUUAAAUCGUUUCUGAAUUAAAAU
This is a long non-coding RNA of Limulus polyphemus (Atlantic horseshoe crab), 555 nucleotides long. RefSeq lists it as uncharacterized. NCBI's taxonomy places the organism in Eukaryota, Metazoa, Arthropoda, Merostomata, Xiphosura, Limulidae. The transcript has 4 exons. The record is from RefSeq and is a predicted model, not a curated record.